GCAUUGGUGGUUUAGUGGUAGAAUUCUCGCCUGCCACGCGGGAGACCUGGGUCCGAUUCCCGGCCAAUGCA
Molecule: transfer RNA, 71 nt
Filed under: Danio rerio (zebrafish)
Lineage: Eukaryota; Metazoa; Chordata; Actinopteri; Cypriniformes; Danionidae
Description: tRNA-Gly (GCC) (tRNA-Gly-GCC-36-1)
Rfam family: tRNA
About the family: Transfer RNA (tRNA) molecules are approximately 80 nucleotides in length. Their secondary structure includes four short double-helical elements and three loops (D, anti-codon, and T loops). Further hydrogen bonds mediate the characteristic L-shaped molecular structure. tRNAs have two regions of fundamental functional importance: the anti-codon, which is responsible for specific mRNA codon recognition, and the 3' end, to which the tRNAs corresponding amino acid is attached (by aminoacyl-tRNA synthetases). tRNAs cope with the degeneracy of the genetic code in two manners: having more than one tRNA (with a specific anti-codon) for a particular amino acid; and 'wobble' base-pairing, i.e. permitting non-standard base-pairing at the 3rd anti-codon position.
Source: Rfam by way of RNAcentral